AAAUUGAAGAGUUUGAUCAUGGCUCAGAUUGAACGCUGGCGGCAGGCCUAACACAUGCAAGUCGAGCGGUAGCACAGAGAGCUUGCUCUCGGGUGACGAGCGGCGGACGGGUGAGUAAUGUCUGGGAAACUGCCUGAUGGAGGGGGAUAACUACUGGAAACGGUAGCUAAUACCGCAUAACGUCGCAAGACCAAAGUGGGGGACCUUCGGGCCUCAUGCCAUCAGAUGUGCCCAGAUGGGAUUAGCUAGUAGGUGGGGUAACGGCUCACCUAGGCGACGAUCCCUAGCUGGUCUGAGAGGAUGACCAGCCACACUGGAACUGAGACACGGUCCAGACUCCUACGGGAGGCAGCAGUGGGGAAUAUUGCACAAUGGGCGCAAGCCUGAUGCAGCCAUGCCGCGUGUGUGAAGAAGGCCUUCGGGUUGUAAAGCACUUUCAGCGGGGAGGAAGGCGAUAAGGUUAAUAACCUUGUCGAUUGACGUUACCCGCAGAAGAAGCACCGGCUAACUCCGUGCCAGCAGCCGCGGUAAUACGGAGGGUGCAAGCGUUAAUCGGAAUUACUGGGCGUAAAGCGCACGCAGGCGGUCUGUCAAGUCGGAUGUGAAAUCCCCGGGCUCAACCUGGGAACUGCAUUCGAAACUGGCAGGCUAGAGUCUUGUAGAGGGGGGUAGAAUUCCAGGUGUAGCGGUGAAAUGCGUAGAGAUCUGGAGGAAUACCGGUGGCGAAGGCGGCCCCCUGGACAAAGACUGACGCUCAGGUGCGAAAGCGUGGGGAGCAAACAGGAUUAGAUACCCUGGUAGUCCACGCCGUAAACGAUGUCGAUUUGGAGGUUGUGCCCUUGAGGCGUGGCUUCCGGAGCUAACGCGUUAAAUCGACCGCCUGGGGAGUACGGCCGCAAGGUUAAAACUCAAAUGAAUUGACGGGGGCCCGCACAAGCGGUGGAGCAUGUGGUUUAAUUCGAUGCAACGCGAAGAACCUUACCUGGUCUUGACAUCCACAGAACUUUCCAGAGAUGGAUUGGUGCCUUCGGGAACUGUGAGACAGGUGCUGCAUGGCUGUCGUCAGCUCGUGUUGUGAAAUGUUGGGUUAAGUCCCGCAACGAGCGCAACCCUUAUCCUUUGUUGCCAGCGGUU
This 1134-nucleotide ribosomal RNA is filed under the name Klebsiella pneumoniae. RNAcentral's name for it is "bacterial SSU rRNA". It matches the Rfam family "Bacterial small subunit ribosomal RNA", at positions 1 to 1126 of the family's 1533-position model. The record is from RNAcentral. Lineage: Bacteria; Pseudomonadati; Pseudomonadota; Gammaproteobacteria; Enterobacterales; Enterobacteriaceae.